AAAAUCCUUUUCUUGGGGUUGCACUACUGUUCAAUGAGCACAUAGUGAUGGCAGUACUGCUAAUACCUGCACAACACACUCACAUCAACUAGAGCUUUGGUUUGUAUUGGUGCAAAUUUUGGAAAA
Small nuclear RNA from Nycticebus coucang (slow loris), 126 nucleotides. RefSeq annotates it as U4atac minor spliceosomal RNA. The record is from RefSeq and is a predicted model, not a curated record. Lineage: Eukaryota; Metazoa; Chordata; Mammalia; Primates; Lorisidae. The transcript has a single exon.